Molecule: ribosomal RNA, 492 nt
Filed under: uncultured bacterium
Lineage: Bacteria
Description: partial 16S ribosomal RNA
Rfam family: Bacterial small subunit ribosomal RNA
Source: RNAcentral
AGUGAACGCUGGCGGUAGGCCUAACACGUGCCAGUCGAACGGCAGCACAGUAAGAGCUUGCUCUUACGGGUGGCGAGUGGCGGACGGGUGAGGAAUACAUCGGAAUCUACUUUUUCGUGGGGGAUAACGUAGGGAAACUUACGCUAAUACCGCAUACGACCUACGGGUGAAAGCAGGGGAUCUUCGGACCUUGCGCGAUUGAAUGAGCCGAUGUCGGAUUAGCUAGUUUGCGGGGUAAAGGCCCACCAAGGCGACGAUCCGUAGCUGGUCUGAGAGGAUGAUCAGCCACACUGGAACUGAGACACGGUCCAGACUCCUACGGGAGGCAGCAGUGGGGAAUAUUGGACAAUGGGCGCAAGCCUGAUCCAGCCAUACCGCGUGGGUGAAGAAGGCCUUCGGGUUGUAAAGCCCUUUUGUUGGGAAAGAAAAGCAGCAGGUUAAUACCCCGCUGUUCUGACGGUACCCAAAGAAUAAGCACCGGCUAACUUCGUG